Small nucleolar RNA from Callorhinchus milii (elephant shark), 65 nucleotides. RefSeq annotates it as small nucleolar RNA SNORD50. NCBI's taxonomy places the organism in Eukaryota, Metazoa, Chordata, Chondrichthyes, Chimaeriformes, Callorhinchidae. The record is from RefSeq and is a predicted model, not a curated record. The transcript has a single exon.
GGUCAAUGAUGACUUAUAUCCAAAUCUGAUGUUCUGAUGAACCAUACGGAUCUGACUGCUGAGAU